GAUGAACGCUGGCGGCGUGCCUAAUACAUGCAAGUCGAGCGAACGGACGAGAAGCUUGCUUCUCUGAUGUUAGCGGCGGACGGGUGAGUAACACGUGGAUAACCUACCUAUAAGACUGGGAUAACUUCGGGAAACCGGAGCUAAUACCGGAUAAUAUUUUGAACCGCAUGGUUCAAAAGUGAAAGACGGUCUUGCUGUCACUUAUAGAUGGAUCCGCGCUGCAUUAGCUAGUUGGUAAGGUAACGGCUUACCAAGGCAACGAUGCAUAGCCGACCUGAGAGGGUGAUCGGCCACACUGGAACUGAGACACGGUCCAGACUCCUACGGGAGGCAGCAGUAGGGAAUCUUCCGCAAUGGGCGAAAGCCUGACGGAGCAACGCCGCGUGAGUGAUGAAGGUCUUCGGAUCGUAAAACUCUGUUAUUAGGGAAGAACAUAUGUGUAAGUAACUGUGCACAUCUUGACGGUACCUAAUCAGAAAGCCACGGCUAACUACGUGCCAGCAGCCGCGGUAAUACGUAGGUGGCAAGCGUUAUCCGGAAUUAUUGGGCGUAAAGCGCGCGUAGGCGGUUUUUUAAGUCUGAUGUGAAAGCCCACGGCUCAACCGCGGAGGGUCAUUGGAAACUGGAAAACUUGAGUGCAGAAGAGGAAAGUGGAAUUCCAUGUGUAGCGGUGAAAUGCGCAGAGAUAUGGAGGAACACCAGUGGCGAAGGCGACUUUCUGGUCUGUAACUGACGCUGAUGUGCGAAAGCGUGGGGAUCAAACAGGAUUAGAUACCCUGGUAGUCCACGCCGUAAACGAUGAGUGCUAAGUGUUAGGGGGUUUCCGCCCCUUAGUGCUGCAGCUAACGCAUUAAGCACUCCGCCUGGGAAGUACGACCGCAAGGUUGAAACUCAAAGGAAUUGACGGGGACCCGCACAAGCGGUGGAGCAUGUGGUUUAAUUCGAAGCAACGCGAAGAACCUUACCAAAUCUUGACAUCCUUUGACAACUCUAGAGAUAGAGCCUUCCCCUUCGGGGGGGCAAAGUGACAGGUGGUGCAUGGUUGUCGUCAGCUCGUGUCGUGAGAUGUUGGGUUAAGUCCCGCAACGAGCGCAACCCUUAAGCUUAGUUGCCAUCAUUAAGUUGGGCACUCUAAGUUGACUGCCGGUGACAAACCGGAGGAAGGUGGGGAUGACGUCAAAUCAUCAUGCCCCUUAUGAUUUGGGCUACACACGUGCUACAAUGGACAAUACAAAGGGCAGCGAAACCGCGAGGUCAAGCAAAUCCCAUAAAGUUGUUCUCAGUUCGGAUUGUAGUCUGCAACUCGACUACAUGAAGCUGGAAUCGCUAGUAAUCGUAGAUCAGCAUGCUACGGUGAAUACGUUCCCGGGUCU
Molecule: ribosomal RNA, 1373 nt
Filed under: uncultured bacterium
Lineage: Bacteria
Description: bacterial SSU rRNA
Rfam family: Bacterial small subunit ribosomal RNA
Source: RNAcentral